Molecule: ribosomal RNA, 494 nt
Filed under: uncultured bacterium
Lineage: Bacteria
Description: partial 16S ribosomal RNA
Rfam family: Bacterial small subunit ribosomal RNA
Source: RNAcentral
GACGAACGCUGGCGGCGUGCUUAACACAUGCAAGUCGAACGGAAAGGCCUGCUUUCCCUUGUGGAUUGCGGGUACUCGCGUGGCGAACGGGUGAGUAACACGUGAGUGAUCUGCCCCCAACUUUGGUAUAAGCCUGGGAAACUGGGUCUAAUUACCGAUAGGACUGCAGGGUGGUGCGUGUGGUGGAAGACGAUUUUCUAGUGGUUGGGGAUGAGCGCGCGGCCUAUGAGGUUGUUGGUGGGGUAAUGGCCUACCAGGGCGGCGACGGGUAGCCGGCCGGGGGUGGCGGACCGGCACAUGUGGACUGAGACACGGGCCAGGAGCCUACGGGAGGCAUCAGUGGGGAAUAAUGAACAGGGGGCGGAAGCCUGAGGCAGCGACGCUGAGUGGGGGAUGACGGGCGUCGGGUGGUAGCCUCCGUUCGACCGCGAGGAAGCCACCUGGAUGGAAGGGUGGUGACGGUAGUGGGAGAAGAAGCACCGGCUAACUACGUG